AAGAGAAUGGAAUUUCAGAAAAAAACUUUUUUCAAGUUAAAAAUUGAAAUUUUUUUAAUUUGUGCAGAAACAAUUAUUAAUAUUAAGGACAAGAAGACCCUAUGAAUUUAUAAAUUUUAUUUAAUAUGUAACUACUAUUAAAAAAAUUUUAGCUGGGGCGGCGGAAAAAUAUUUAAAACUUUUUUAAAAUAAAAUGACCCAUUAUUAAUGAUUAUAUGUUAAAUACUCUAGGGAUAACAGCGUUAUAUUUUUUGAUAGAUCAUAUUGACAAAAAAGUUUGCGACCUCGAUGUUGGAUUAGGAUACUUUUUUAAUGCAGAUAUUAAAAAAAGAAGUUUGUUCAACUUUUAAUUUCCU
RNAcentral lists this ribosomal RNA (356 nucleotides) under Rhipicephalus sanguineus (brown dog tick). RNAcentral describes it as "partial large subunit ribosomal RNA". Lineage: Eukaryota; Metazoa; Arthropoda; Arachnida; Ixodida; Ixodidae. The record is from RNAcentral.